This 59-nucleotide microRNA precursor is filed under the name Mus pahari (shrew mouse). RNAcentral describes it as "miRNA (MGP_PahariEiJ_G0006759.1)". Lineage: Eukaryota; Metazoa; Chordata; Mammalia; Rodentia; Muridae. The record is from RNAcentral.
UAUAUGUUUAUGUACUGUGCAUUAGGUGUGUAUGCACAUCUAUAUGUACAUGUACUCAU